AUGCUAAAGUAUAUUCCUCACAGAGGGAGGUUUAGGUAUACAUUGUUUGGAUAUUUCUGGGAAUCGAAUGAAUGGCUACAAGCGCACAGUGCUGGCUGUUAUAUAGCCUCGACAACAGCAGUGACCGGCAACCUGCUGAAACGGUACAGGGAACGGGCGAGCGAUCCUUUCUACUUGACGCUUGACAGCCGACCAAUAACUGAACUUCUUCUGCACCUGACAAUGCCCCCUCGAGAAAAUGAACUUGUCCUCAAGGAGUCUCAAUUCUCAACGUCCUUGGCGCCAACUCUCAACUGUUUGCUUGAAGAAAGACGGAAAUGUGUAUUUGAUGAAAUCUGCAUCUUCCCACGAGGAAUCCUCCGGAGGUAG
Molecule: ribosomal RNA, 369 nt
Filed under: Triticum aestivum (bread wheat)
Lineage: Eukaryota; Viridiplantae; Streptophyta; Magnoliopsida; Poales; Poaceae
Description: partial small subunit ribosomal RNA
Source: RNAcentral